GUGAGUCAUCGAAUCUUUGAACGCACAUUGCGCCCCUUGGUAUUCCGAGGGGCAUACCUGUUCGAGCGUCAUUACAACACUCAAGCCUAGCUUGGUAUUGGGCUCCGCUGCUUACCCAGCGCGCCUUAAAAUUAGUGGCGGUGCCGUCGGGCUCCUGAGCGCAGUAAAAACCUCGCUAUAGGGACCGGUGAACAUUUGCCAGAAACCCCAACUCUUUUAGUUUGACCUCGGAUCAGGUAGGGCUACCCGCUGAACUUAAGCAUAUCAAUAAGCGGAGGA
RNAcentral lists this unclassified non-coding RNA (279 nucleotides) under Hyaloscyphaceae sp. RNAcentral's name for it is "partial contains 5.8S ribosomal RNA, internal transcribed spacer 2, and large subunit ribosomal RNA". The stretch from base 1 to 71 matches the Rfam family "5.8S ribosomal RNA", at positions 84 to 154 of the family's 154-position model. Lineage: Eukaryota; Fungi; Ascomycota; Leotiomycetes; Helotiales; Hyaloscyphaceae. The record is from RNAcentral.